GACGAACGCUGGCGGCGUGCUUAACACAUGCAAGUCGAACGGAAAGGCCCUGCUUUUGUGGGGUGCUCGAGUGGCGAACGGGUGAGUAACACGUGAGUAACCUGCCCUUGACUUUGGGAUAACUUCAGGAAACUGGGGCUAAUACCGGAUAGGAGCUCCUGCUGCAUGGUGGGGGUUGGAAAGUUUCGGCGGUUGGGGAUGGACUCGCGGCUUAUCAGCUUGUUGGUGGGGUAGUGGCUUACCAAGGCUUUGACGGGUAGCCGGCAUGAGAGGGUGACCGGCCACAUUAGGACUGAGAUACGGCCCAGACUCCUACGGGAGGCAGAAGUGGGGAAUAGUGCACAAUGGGCGGAAGCCUGAUGCAGCAACGCCGCGUGCGGGAUGACGGCCUUCGGGUUGUAAACCGCUUUCGCCUGUGACGAAGCGUGAGUGACGGUAAUGGAUAAAGAAGCACCGGCUAACUACGUG
Molecule: ribosomal RNA, 468 nt
Filed under: uncultured bacterium
Lineage: Bacteria
Description: partial 16S ribosomal RNA
Rfam family: Bacterial small subunit ribosomal RNA
Source: RNAcentral